AUCCUUCAGUUCAUGAGAGUGAUGAUUGGUUGUUCAUGUAAUAUGCAUGAGAUGUGCCUCCCUCAAACCUUGUUAUGACAUUGACACAUUACCCUUUUGAUC
Non-coding RNA from Fukomys damarensis (Damara mole-rat), 102 nucleotides. The record is from Rfam. Lineage: Eukaryota; Metazoa; Chordata; Mammalia; Rodentia; Bathyergidae.